CUACGGGAGGCAGCAGUGAGGAAUAUUGCACAAUGGGGGGAACCCUGAUGCAGCAACGCUGCGUGGAGGAUGACGCGUUUCGGUGUGUAAACUCCUUUUAUAUGUCAAGAAAAUGACGGUAGCAUAUGAAUAAGCACCGGCUAACUCCGUGCCAGCAGCCGCGGUAAUACGGAGGGUGCAAGCGUUACUCGGAAUCACUGGGCGUAAAGGACGCGUAGGCGGGUUGGAAAGUCAGGUGUGAAAUCCUACAGCUUAACUGUAGAACUGCACUUGAAACUUCUAAUCUAGAGUAUGGGAGGGGGAGAUGGAAUUAGUGGUGUAGGGGUAAAAUCCGUAGAUAUCACUAGGAAUACCUAAAGCGAAGGCGAUCUCCUGGAACAUUACUGACGCUAAGGCGUGAAAGCGUGGGGAGCAAACAGGAUUAGAUACCCUCGUAGUC
Molecule: ribosomal RNA, 439 nt
Filed under: uncultured bacterium
Lineage: Bacteria
Description: partial 16S ribosomal RNA
Rfam family: Bacterial small subunit ribosomal RNA
Source: RNAcentral